GAUGAACGCUAGCGGGAGGCCUAACACAUGCAAGCCGAGCGGUAUUGUUUCUUCGGAAAUGAGAGAGCGGCGUACGGGUGCGUAACACGUGUGCAACCUGCCCUUAUCUGGGGGAUAGCCUUUCGAAAGGAAGAUUAAUACUCCAUAAUAUAUUGAACGGCAUCGUUUAAUAUUGAAAGCUCCGGCGGAUAGAGAUGGGCACGCGCAAGAUUAGCUAGUUGGUGAGGUAACGGCUCACCAAGGCGAUGAUCUUUAGGGGGCCUGAGAGGGUGAUCCCCCACACUGGUACUGAGACACGGACCAGACUCCUACGGGAGGCAGCAGUGAGGAAUAUUGGUCAAUGGGUGCAAGCCUGAACCAGCCAUCCCGCGUGAAGGACGACUGCCCUAUGGGUUGUAAACUUCUUUUGUAUAGGGAUAAACCUACCCUCGAGAGGGUAGCUGAAGGUACUAUACGAAUAAGCACCGGCUAACUCCGUG
RNAcentral lists this ribosomal RNA (479 nucleotides) under uncultured bacterium. RNAcentral's name for it is "partial 16S ribosomal RNA". It matches the Rfam family "Bacterial small subunit ribosomal RNA", at positions 28 to 507 of the family's 1533-position model. The record is from RNAcentral.